UUGGGCGUAAGAGCUCGUAGGCGGUUUGUCGCGUCUGCUGUGAAAUCCCGAGGCUCAACCUCGGGCUUGCAGUGGGUACGGGCAGACUAGAGUGCGGUAGGGGAGAUUGGAAUUCCUGGUGUAGCGGUGGAAUGCGCAGAUAUCAGGAGGAACACCGAUGGCGAAGGCAGAUCUCUGGGCCGUAACUGACGCUGAGGAGCGAAAGCGUGGGGAGCGAACAGGAUUAGAUACCCUGGUAGUCCACGCCGUAAACGUUGGGCGCUAGAUGUAGGGACCUUUCCACGGUUUCUGUGUCGUAGCUAACGCAUUAAGCGCCCCGCCUGGGGAGUACGGCCGCAAGGCUAAAACUCAAAGGAAUUGACGGGGGCCCGCACAAGCGGCGGGGCAUGCGGAUUAAUUCGAUGCAACGCGAAGAACCUUACCAAGGCUUGACAUACACCGGAAACGGCCAGAGAUGGUUGCCCCCUUGUGGUCGGUGUACAGGUGGUGCAUGGUUGUCGUCAGCUCGUGUCGUGAGAUGUUGGGUUAAGUCCCGCAACGAGCGCAACCCUCGUUCUAUGUUGCCAGCGCGUUAUGGCGGGGACUCAUAGGAGACUGCCGGGGUCAACUCGGAGGAAGGUGGGGAUGAC
This 629-nucleotide ribosomal RNA is filed under the name uncultured bacterium. Its description in RNAcentral is "bacterial SSU rRNA". It matches the Rfam family "Bacterial small subunit ribosomal RNA", at positions 554 to 1183 of the family's 1533-position model. The record is from RNAcentral.